Molecule: long non-coding RNA, 536 nt
Filed under: Rattus norvegicus (Norway rat)
Lineage: Eukaryota; Metazoa; Chordata; Mammalia; Rodentia; Muridae
Description: long non-coding RNA NONRATT029192
Source: RNAcentral
GUCAGUGAUCUUAACCACUGAGCCAUCUCUCCAGCCCAAAUUAAAAUAAUUUUAAAAUUUAAGAAAUAGUGGCAGGAGAGAUGACUCACCUCAUCCAGAGGUCCUGAGUUCAACUCCCAGCAAGCAUGGUGGCUCCCAAGCAUCUGUAAUGGGAUCUGAGGCCCUCUUCCGGUGUGUCUGAAGAGAGUGGCAGUGUACUCACAUACAUUAAGUAAAUAAGUAGUAUUUUAUGGGGAUGGGUGUUUUGCCUGCAUGUGUUUGUGUACGUGGGAGCUCAGAGACCAUAGAGGGUAUCGGAUCCCUGGAGCUAGAGUUACGGGCAGUUGUGAGCUGCCACGCGCUUGCUGCCCUCUGAAGUGGGAUAUGACAUAUUCUUGUACCCAGUAGUUGAGAGGAUGAAAUGAAUUUGAGGUCAGCUCGGAAUCCAUACAUCUUAGGACAGCCUGAGCUAACAUUUCAAGGUCUUGUCCAAAAAGAACCUCAAAAGUAUGACUUGGGCCAAUAAAAAGCUGUGGUGUCUGCCGUGAAGCAGGGAA